Molecule: long non-coding RNA, 643 nt
Organism: Panicum virgatum (switchgrass)
Lineage: Eukaryota; Viridiplantae; Streptophyta; Magnoliopsida; Poales; Poaceae
Exons: 2
Source: RefSeq, a predicted model, not a curated record
GGGCGGCGCGCGCAGGGCCCAGCUGCCACGCAGAGGCGGCCGCGCGUGCAGGGUCCCGCGGCGCGGCGAGCUCCGCCCUGAUCUCCCGAGGCCGCGACCGACGGUUGGGGGAGAGGAGGGGAGGGGGCCGUGCGUACCCCUGCCCUGUGGAUCCACCAUCAGCCGCGAGCGGCUCGAGAUCCUCGACGACGAGCGCCGCGUGCUCUGCUUCCGCGUCGUCGGCUGGGAGAUCCAUGGGAGCAGAAGGGGACCUGUUCAGAUGGGGCAACACAGGGAGACUAUUCAGCACUGAUGAAAUGUUAGAGUUGAAGCUAACACAGACAAGAAAAUUUUGCAUUCUUCAGUUUCAUGAAGGUGUUACUGGUGACUGGUAUGGUGGUUUUGAAGUAUUUUUACAUUCUUUGUCAAAUGAGCAGUUGUCUUGUCUGAUUUUGAAACAUGCUGGUUCAUGCCGUACCACAAGCUAGCUAGUCUUUUCCCAUCUAUCUCACUCACUCAAACACACCCACAGUAGUACUACUAGUCUUAUUAUUAGAAAAACAAGGGAGAAGGAUGAACAUGCUAGUCUUAUUAUUAGAAAAACAAAGGAGAAGGGUGAACAUGCAUGAUGUGAUCCAAGUAUGGCACACAGUACAUGCAGCAA